UUCCCUUGGGGCACCCUCAGUGAAAAGUUGCUCACAGGACAACCGGCAUAAAGACUGCAUGCUCCUGCCGCCACUGCUGGUCACCAGCACGCCCGCUCAGAGGACUGCCCAGAGGGGACCCAGCCACCACCCGGUCUGGUGCCUGAACUGAGGGACCUUGUGCCCCACCCCCACCCCGCCCGGGACUCCUCCAGGGAGAGCCGGGCGGCGCCGCCGCGGGACUGGACAGCUCAGAGUGCGAAAGAGAAGC
This is a long non-coding RNA of Pipistrellus kuhlii (Kuhl's pipistrelle), 250 nucleotides long. RefSeq lists it as uncharacterized. The record is from RefSeq and is a predicted model, not a curated record. Lineage: Eukaryota; Metazoa; Chordata; Mammalia; Chiroptera; Vespertilionidae. The transcript is spliced from 4 exons.